GGGUUGUGAGGUUAAGCGACUAAGCGUACACGGUGGAUGCCCUGGCAGUCAGAGGCGAUGAAGGACGUGCUAAUCUGCGAUAAGCGUCGGUAAGGUGAUAUGAACCGUUAUAACCGGCGAUUUCCGAAUGGGGAAACCCAGUGUGAUUCGUCACACUAUCAUUAACUGAAUCCAUAGGUUAAUGAGGCGAACCGGGGGAACUGAAACAUCUAAGUACCCCGAGGAAAAGAAAUCAACCGAGAUUCCCCCAGUAGCGGCGAGCGAACGGGGAGGAGCCCAGAGCCUGAAUCAGUGUGUGUGUUAGUGGAAGCGUCUGGAAAGGCGCGCGAUACAGGGUGACAGCCCCGUACACAAAAAUGCACAUGCUGUGAGCUCGAUGAGUAGGGCGGGACACGUGGUAUCCUGUCUGAAUAUGGGGGGACCAUCCUCCAAGGCUAAAUACUCCUGACUGACCGAUAGUGAACCAGUACCGUGAGGGAAAGGCGAAAAGAACCCCGGCGAGGGGAGUGAAAAAGAACCUGAAACCGUGUACGUACAAGCAGUGGGAGCACAGAGCAAUCUGUGUGACUGCGUA
This 574-nucleotide ribosomal RNA is filed under the name Escherichia coli. Its description in RNAcentral is "bacterial LSU rRNA". It matches the Rfam family "Bacterial large subunit ribosomal RNA", at positions 1 to 603 of the family's 2925-position model. Lineage: Bacteria; Pseudomonadati; Pseudomonadota; Gammaproteobacteria; Enterobacterales; Enterobacteriaceae. The record is from RNAcentral.